This is a long non-coding RNA of Gossypium arboreum, 498 nucleotides long. RefSeq lists it as uncharacterized. The transcript is spliced from 3 exons. The record is from RefSeq and is a predicted model, not a curated record. NCBI's taxonomy places the organism in Eukaryota, Viridiplantae, Streptophyta, Magnoliopsida, Malvales, Malvaceae.
AAUAAAAGAAUAAAAGAAUGAAAUAAAAAGAAACAAAGAAAAGAAAGAAACAGAGACAUUCGAAACAGAGCAGGAAGAAAAGGGGAAAGAAAAGAAAAAGGAAAAACUAAGAGUUUAAGGUUUACAACUUUGAUUGCCAACAAAGAACCUGAAGCAUUGGCACGAAAAGGGAAGGAGAAAGUUAUAGAAGAGUAAUCGCAAAAUUCGGGUUAGUAAAAGUCAAGUGUCUCGGCUCAGCAUCCAGAGCAUUCCUGACUCCAACACAACUUGGUGAUGUAUUUUUUGUUCUUCUGGGUAAAGGUGGCAUGUACAUAGGUGUUGUGUGAUCACUUGAAUAUGUAUAUUAUUUUGGUUGUGAAGGAUGAAUUAUAAGAUUUAGAUUGUUAAAUGAAAUGGUAGAAAGGUAUAUGAUAUUUUGACACAUGAACAUUAAAUUGUUAAAUGAACGAAGUUUUCAAUCAAUUUUGAAUGAUACUAUGAUAGUUAUUUAAGUUAAAA